Chionomys nivalis (European snow vole) is the source of this 460-nucleotide long non-coding RNA. RefSeq lists it as uncharacterized. The transcript has 3 exons. The record is from RefSeq and is a predicted model, not a curated record. Lineage: Eukaryota; Metazoa; Chordata; Mammalia; Rodentia; Cricetidae.
GGAGAGAGAAGUUGCGACCGGGAGCCAGACACCUGAUGCUGGUAUAUGAGUUCCCUGAAUGUAGAGAGCAGUUGUUCCCGUGCUCUGAGCAUUCAGAGAUUAUGCGGCCACAGCCAUGCCUUUGAUAUGCAUAAUUCAAGGGGAGCAGACACAAGCCAGUGGUUGCAGUAUCAUCGCUCGAGUCUUCUGUAAGCGAUUUAUCAGCAGGUCGAGCUGAACAUGGACAUGAGGUAAGCCCUACCCUUGGUCAAAAUUUAGUUUCCUCAGCUUCUGCAUGGAAUUGUAAGGAUUUGGGAUAUAUCACAAAAUCCAGCAGAUUUUCUCUCACUUUUGGAUUAAUCUUUUCCUCUUGAAGAAGAUGACAUUCUUAGCCGGGUGGUGGUGGCGCUCGCCUUUAAUCCCAGCACUCGGGAGGCAGAGGCAGGUGGAUCUCUGUGAGUUUGAGGCCAGCUUGGUCUAA